Long non-coding RNA from Siniperca chuatsi (mandarin fish), 2788 nucleotides. RefSeq lists it as uncharacterized. Lineage: Eukaryota; Metazoa; Chordata; Actinopteri; Centrarchiformes; Sinipercidae. The transcript is spliced from 2 exons. The record is from RefSeq and is a predicted model, not a curated record.
UUGAUGGGAAUUCUGAUACCAUCAACAAGUUUUACACACUGACUACUUUAGUAGCCUCAGUGCAACAUCAUCUCAAGCUUAUAGUGACACAAAACGUGGAUUUUGAUAUUCUCAAAUCAUGUAACAUAGAUCAAACACCACAGGAAAGAUUUGUCAGAAUUCUUACCAACCCUGCAACAUCAUUUAUCUGCUAUUCAUUUAAUGUGUUCAAACCAAAAGAUCCUGACACUUUGCGUGCAUUAACCAGGAAAAAUUACUAUUUACAGCAAACUGUUAAAAAAAGACUCUAAAAGCUGUUAGCAGUGUUUAGCCUGCCCUAACCGUGCCCAACUUGUUUUGCCAGCCUUCAGGCCUUCAGGCCUCUAUCGUGCAUGCAGGGGAAAAAAAUCUGUAUGAUGGGAUCCCCUUCAGGUGAAGUAUGCUUAGAUAAUAUCUCCAUUACUACGUCUACAGGACCUGUUUGGGUUAUUUUCAAAUGAAAGAAAAGAAGACGAGGGGGGGGGGGAGGCUCACAGCAUAGACAACAAAGGGCCCUGCGUGCAAAUGGGAGGAGGAACUCCCUUUAGGUGAGUGCUUGUAAAACGUUGGCUUUGCACGAAACCAACGCAGGUUUACCAGCACACACCUGAUUUACACCUACUCAGAUAGGAGUCAAUCAGAGGGCAAAUACCAUCUUGAAGAAGAUUUAAUGUCCUGUGGAUCCAGGAGGGAAGAGAGAGAGAAAACCAGCGCUCGCGUGGAGGACAGCCAAGCUCUUAUGGAUGGCGGCGCGCUCAGCAGAGCCAAAUGCAAUCUGACAGCUGAGUUUAAUGAUAUUUAUUUCCAAGCCACACGCUUCCAGACCUGUUCUGGAUCUGUUCUCCCGGCUGGACCUCGGCUCAGCACAAUGCCUCAAGCCUGGUGUGAAUUUACUCGUAAUGUCUGUGAAUGGGGAAUGUUUACAGCAUGUUUGAUUAGUGUGUGUAUGGAGUAGCAUGUGGGCACGCAUUGCCAUCGGUAUGUGUACCGACUCCCUUUACUCUCUCUAUAAGUGUGCUUGCACACAUGCUGACAGCAAUAAUGGAUCUUCUAUGACAGUUUGGAUACACAGAAACUCUCCUGAAGGUGAAUUAGCCAGCUCCUACCUGCCAUCCCAAGAAGGUUAACAAUCUCAGCUGCAGUCCACACAUCUCUGUUCCUUCAGCCCCACCUCAGAGCAUCAGGUCAACGCUCUGUUCAGCGUUGGCUCAAAACCAGGCUGAAGCUGCAACACCAGCUACCAUUUUCUUGCUAGCUGCAUGGCUCUAGGGAUGGAAAUGUCAGUCAGUCCACCACUUGGAAUAUCUCAACUGUUGAAUGGGUUGCUAUAAACAUUUUCUAUAGACAUCCAUGGUCCCCAGAGGAUGAAUCCUAGUGACUUAUUUCUGUGACUUUCAAAUGGGGCCACCAUGAGGUAUGAGGUUAAUAUUUGUUAAUAUGUUAGUAUGCUAAUAUGCUAAACUAAGAUGGUGAACAUGAUAAACAUUACCUUAUACAUUGUGAGUAUGUUAGCAUGAUAAUGUUUGCAUUUAGCUCAAAGCACCUGUGCCUAAGUACAGCCUCACAGAGCCGCUAGCAUGGUUCUUGUUCCAAAAUGAACAACUUAUUUUAGGUUCAACUUAAGAGGUAGUAUUUCUCUGAAAUUCCAAAUCUGAAAAUCAUCCUCCCGGAAAAGUGAUAUUUCAGUGGAAACACAAACACUUUAUGGGUUUGCAUUUUUAAGAGUCAAUUCAAAGCAAACCAAUGUUUGAGUUAUAUGUUGUUUAGUCAUAACCUCAGGGAUAUUCACCAUAAUGCGAUCAUUCAAACAAUUCCCUGUUUUAUAACUAAUGUAAUUAUAUGAAUUGUGCUGAGGGAUUUUUUUUUUGUUCAAGUGGAAACAUAACUGUGCCAUCUUAACUUGGCAUUUACAUUGAAAUUUAAGUUGUGUACAAAGUAUCAUUGGCCUACAUCCGUAAACUGACACAUGGCGUACAAUAGCACCAUUACCUCAUAGCCUUACAGAUUUAUGAUCUCGAUUUGUACGCACAAGUUUAAAUACACACGCUGCGUUAACUAUCAGCGGAACAAAGGCAAUCAUAGUUUGUGUCAUUGCAUAUAAAAUAAUAAAUAUAUGGGUGUGUAGGUGUUUUUAAGCUUGUUGCGUUGAUGUAAAGUGCAUUUUAGGGUUUUGUGUGUCAUAAAGCCCAUGGUUUUAGCACUGCUUAACCUUAAUAUUUUGUAAGUGAGCUCUACAAUCAGUUGUCAUGUCAUAAGCACGUUAAUGUUUACGUUAUGUUAGUUUUCAGACAUUUAGAGAAAUCUCCAGAUCCCAUUUUACUUUGUGUGCCACCUGAUAGAAUUUCAUUGGUAGUCUGCAGAGUUUCUUUAUGCCACAAGAAAAUUUGUUGUACUUAACAAAACAGGAAUAAAAUUCAUAGUAAAAUGGGGUUAACUUUGUACAUUUUCCGACAGACAGUCUCUCCUGGAAGGCAUUCAUAGUGCUGCACUCGGUACACACAAAAAGUGACAAUUGUGUAAAAAAUGAAAAACCCUGGCACCUUUCUCACCUCUGCACUGCUGGCCAAACCAUUCGACAAGCAUUUCUGGUGGAGCAUAGUAGCAGCUUAAAACUGUAGCUGCUAAAUGGAAUAAGAAAAGUAUAUAUAUCACAGUGUUAUCAUAUUGGGCCUUAUAAGUUCGAAUUAAUGAUACAUUUGUCUUUCAACCACAGUGACAGCAGCUGUGAUUCCAUGUAAGGACUCAAAGAAAUAAAGAUUCCCUCUAAAAA